UUGUCGUCAGGUACCGGUUGUUCGAUUUAAAAGAUUGCACCUUUCCGGAAGACGACUGUACCGGAGGAUCCCGUAAGUACCCGACCUCCAUUUUUUUCCAGAUAGGUUUUUGUUUUUGUUUUGGAUUUGAAUCGGCGCUCACCUCCCUUUUUUCCAGAUCAGUAUCCGCCGUCACUAAUGCCACCACGAUCCACAACUCCUCUCCGAACGACACGAAGCCGAUCAGCCAAAAUGACCACCUUUGCCAAAUAUAUUGGAGGAUGUAACUGAUUUUCGAUGCAAGAAUGUCUCUGAUCGUGUUGGCCAAACCAACAUGUAUCACUCCAAUUCAAAAGCGGAGGUUAGUUUAAGUUCAUAAUUGCUCAUCACAAUUUUUAUUGCCUUUUUUUCCGUUGAAAUUCUCAAUUACAGUUGUUUGGAUGUUUUAUUUUUUGGGGUUGAGGUAGUACUUGUAUUACCCUGAAUAUCUAUUUUGUUCCUUCUAUUACAAAGAUUGUUUUUAGUUUAUUAUUACAAGAUUGUUAACUGGCUCGUUGUAGGUACCUUUGGUUCCUACGUUGGAAAAGUUACAUGAUUUGAUUUCUUGAAUUUGUUACUAUUUAGUUGGUGGCUUGAAUAGGUUGGUUUUUUAUUUUUCAGAAAAAUCAAGAUUGCUUUUUGUAGUUCCUUCAAUUCCAGUUUUGUUUGAUUGUUUGUUUAGUAUAGUUUUGUUGUAGUUAUAAUUGGUUCCGAAUUUAGAUGAGGAACGUGAUUUUAUUGCCAUGAUUUUUUGCAUAUUGUGUUGGUAUUCUGAAUAAAUUGGUUCCUGAUGGUUACGUUCAAUUGUAGGAUAAUGCCAAGGGUAUGGUGGUGUGUGAUGAUGUGUUGUCGUUGUAGCCCGAAAAGGAUCAUGGAUGUGAUUUUUUUGAAGGCUGUUACCUUUGAUGAUACGUGCUUUAGAAUCGACUAGAUUUGGUGGUACUAUAUUAUUUCAAAUCGAAUUUAUGUGCGAUUAUUUUAACCAGUGGACAUUGGAAGCUUAUGAUUCUGAAAACAAGUCAUUUUUCUUUAUGAAGAAGAAUC
Molecule: long non-coding RNA, 1062 nt
Filed under: Linum usitatissimum (flax)
Lineage: Eukaryota; Viridiplantae; Streptophyta; Magnoliopsida; Malpighiales; Linaceae
Description: long non-coding RNA (LUSI_LNC005371)
Source: RNAcentral